GCAUACCAAUAAGCGGAGGAAAAGAAACUAACAAGGAUUCCCCUAGUAACUGCGAGUGAAGCGGGAAAAGCUCAAAUUUAAAAUCUGGCGGUCUUUGGCUGUCCGAGUUGUAAUCUAGAGAAGUGUUAUCCGCGCUGGACCGUGUACAAGUCUCCUGGAAUGGAGCGUCAUAGAGGGUGAGAAUCCCGUCUUUGACACGGACUGCCAGUGCUUUGUGAUGCGCUCUCAAAGAGUCGAGUUGUUUGGGAAUGCAGCUCAAAAUGGGUGGUAAAUUCCAUCUAAAGCUAAAUAUUGGCGAGAGACCGAUAGCGAACAAGUACCGUGAGGGAAAGAUGAAAAGAACUUUGGAAAGAGAGUUAAACAGUACGUGAAAUUGUUGAAAGGGAAACGCUUGAAGUCAGUCGCGUCGUCCGGGGAUCAACCUUGCUUUUGCUGGGUGUACUUUCCGGUUGACGGGUCAGCAUCAAUUUUGACCGUUGGAUAAAGUUCAGGGGAAUGUGGCAUCUUCGGAUGUGUUAUAGCCCUUGGUCGCAUACAACGAUUGGGAUUGAGGAACUCAGCACGCCGCAAGGCCGGGAAUUUAUUCCACGUUCGUGCUCAGGAUGCUGGCAUAAUGGCUUUAAUCGACCCGUCUUGAAACACGGACCAAGGAGUCUAACAUGCCUGCGAGUGUUUGGGUGGAAAACCCGAGCGCGUAAUGAAAGUGAAAGUUGAGAUCCCUGUCGCGGGGAGCAUCGACGCCCGGACCAGACCUUUUGUGACGGAUCCGCGGUAGAGCAUGUAUGUUGGGACCCGAAAGAUGGUGAACUAUGCCUGAAUAGGGUGAAGCCAGAGGAAACUCUGGUGGAGGCUCGUAGCGAUUCUGACGUGCAAAUCGAUCGUCAAAUUUGGGUAUAGGGGCGAAAGACUAAUCGAACCAUCUAGUAGCUGGUCCUGCG
RNAcentral lists this ribosomal RNA (938 nucleotides) under Kuehneromyces mutabilis. RNAcentral describes it as "LSU rRNA". It matches the Rfam family "Eukaryotic large subunit ribosomal RNA", at positions 38 to 962 of the family's 3401-position model. The record is from RNAcentral. Lineage: Eukaryota; Fungi; Basidiomycota; Agaricomycetes; Agaricales; Kuehneromycetaceae.